AGGGUCCUACGGGGCGCAGCAGUGGGGAAUAUUGCACAAUGGGGGGAACCCUGAUGCAGCGACGCCGCGUGGGUGAAGGAGUACUUCGGUACGUAAAGCCUUAUCAGCAGGGAAGAAAAUGACGGUACCUGACUAAGAAGCCCCGGCUAACUACGUGCCAGCAGCCGCGGUAAUACGUAGGGGGCAAGCGUUAUCCGGAUUUACUGGGUGUAAAGGGAGCGUAGACGGCAGUGCAAGUCCGGAGUGAAAGCCCGGGGCUCAACCAUGGGACUGCUCUGGAAACUGUACAGCUGGAGUGCGGGAGG
Molecule: ribosomal RNA, 305 nt
Filed under: uncultured bacterium
Lineage: Bacteria
Description: bacterial SSU rRNA
Rfam family: Bacterial small subunit ribosomal RNA
Source: RNAcentral